UGCUGGCCCGAGUGCAAUGGUGUUUACAACCAAUUGAUCACAACCAAUUACAGAUUCCUUUGUUCCUUCUCCAUUCCCGCUGCUUCACUUGACUAGCCAAAA
Molecule: Y RNA, 102 nt
Filed under: Prolemur simus (greater bamboo lemur)
Lineage: Eukaryota; Metazoa; Chordata; Mammalia; Primates; Lemuridae
Description: Y RNA (ENSPSMG00000007517.1)
Rfam family: Y RNA
About the family: Y RNAs are components of the Ro ribonucleoprotein particle (Ro RNP), in association with Ro60 and La proteins. The Y RNAs and Ro60 and La proteins are well conserved, but the function of the Ro RNP is not known.
Source: Rfam by way of RNAcentral